Molecule: ribosomal RNA, 492 nt
Filed under: uncultured bacterium
Lineage: Bacteria
Description: partial 16S ribosomal RNA
Rfam family: Bacterial small subunit ribosomal RNA
Source: RNAcentral
GAUGAACGCUGGCUACAGGCUUAACACAUGCAAGUCGAGGGGAAACGGCAUUGAGUGCUUGCACUGAAUGGACGUCGACCGGCGCACGGGUGAGUAACGCGUAUCCAACCUUCCCGUUACUGCGGGAUAACCUGCCGAAAGGCAGACUAAUACCGCAUGUUCUUCGAUGACGGCAUCAGAUUCGAAGCAAAGAUCCGUCGGUAACAGAGGGGGAUGCGUCUGAUUAGCUAGUUGGCGGGGCGACGGCCCACCAAGGCGACGAUCAGUAGGGGUUCUGAGAGGAAGGUCCCCCACAUUGGAACUGAGACACGGUCCAAACUCCUACGGGAGGCAGCAGUGAGGAAUAUUGGUCAAUGGGCGGAAGCCUGAACCAGCCAAGUAGCGUGCAGGAUGACGGCCCUACGGGUUGUAAACUGCUUUUAUGCGGGGAUAAAGUGAGGGACGCGUCCCUUUUUGCAGGUACCGCAUGAAUAAGGACCGGCUAAUUCCGUG